Molecule: RNA transcript, 1320 nt
Organism: Musa acuminata AAA Group (dessert banana)
Lineage: Eukaryota; Viridiplantae; Streptophyta; Magnoliopsida; Zingiberales; Musaceae
Gene name: pathogen-related protein-like
Exons: 4
Source: RefSeq, a predicted model, not a curated record
CUCUCUCUCCGUCUCUGGCUUUCUGCCUCCCAUCUCCAUCUCCAUCUCCGCGACACCUGAACGCCGUGUGCUACACGUGUAGAUGGCCGUCGAGGGCGACAAGUACAGAUCUUACCUGGUCGGAGAGGGAGAGAAGGACACCCACUGGAGGCACGGCGCCCCUCCCACCUACGAUCUCGUCAACAAGCUCUUCGAAGAAGGAAGAACCACGGAGUGGCCCAAAGGGUCUCUGGAGGAGACGGUGCAGAACGCCAUAAAGACAUGGGAGAUGGAGCUGUCGCACAAGACGCGGCUGGGGGACUUCAAGUCCAUCAGCCCCGCCAAGUUCAAGUUCUUCGUCAACGGGAGGAAGGGGCUGACGGGGGAGGAGACGCUGGCGCUGGGGAGCUACAACGCCUUGCUCCAGACCUCCCUGCCGCCGGAGUUCCAGUACUACAAGGCCGACGCCGAGACCUUCGAGUCGUCACACGAUGUGUUCCGGAUGGCGUUCCCUCGUGGGUUCGCAUGGGAGGUGCUCCGCGUGUACUCGGGGCCUCCGGCCGUCGCGUUCAAGUACAGGCACUGGGGCUACAUGGAGGGCCCUUACAAAGGUCAUGCUCCCACCGGGGAGCUCGUUGAGUUCACCGGUGUGGCUGUUCUCAAGGUGGACGAACAGUUGAGGGCGGAAGAGGUGGAGAUCUAUUACGACCCCGGCGAGCUGUUCGCAGGCCUUCUCAAGGGAGAGGUGAUUUCUGGUGUUGAUUCUGUGGACACCACAGCUUCGAAGCUUCAACCAUGUCCUUUUCUCAAGGGCGAUCCGUAGAGGAACACCUCGUUGUCUCGACGAUGUGCGUAAUGGUUAUCUGUACUGUGUACUGCUCGAGUAUUAAAUAAGACUGUUCACGUUAAAAUAAAUGAAACGGAAGGUGUGAACCGAUCGACACCAUUUCGGCAUCGACCACUGACUGCUUCGCCGGUCAUCCGUAGCGUUUUUGGAGGUGGGCGUGCCGUCAUCGGUCGAUCUUUCUGCCUUCUUUCGUCAUCGCUGGCGUGUGGCCUCCGAAUCGUUGGCCCACUUCGAUUUGGCUGUCGUCGGCUUCAUGGCAGGGGGAGGAGGAGGAGCUGCGACGUCUCCGUCGUACUUGCCGUGCGUUCCGUUUCUUGGAAAUUGAGAGCCGCUUGAGACGACGUUGUGGCCAUUCGGUACACAAACUCGUAUGAGCAGAUUUUUGGGCGGAUAUGUCGAUCAUGACAUCAUGGAAGGAAGAAAGGGGUCUCAUUCAAUCCAUAUUUAUUAGGAUUGAAGUCAAUUCUCAAUGCCAACUAAAAGAUUUACCAAAA